Molecule: non-coding RNA, 367 nt
Organism: Pelobates cultripes (western spadefoot toad)
Lineage: Eukaryota; Metazoa; Chordata; Amphibia; Anura; Pelobatidae
Source: the annotation of a GenBank genome assembly
AAAAAAGCGUUUAAACCUAGCUGGACCUGGCACCCAGACCACUUCAUUAAGUGGGUGCCUAUAGUGGUUCUUUAAUUGAUUAUCCCUCCAUUUCCGUUUUAUACGUUCUGUUUUUCUUUUAUCACGAAGCGCUUUAAUGAAGAAUCUAUCACCGUUUAAAACCAAACUGCAAUAUAAUCGAGAUAGGUUAAAAAAAACAAACAAAAAAAACAAAACACUUUUUAUUGCAUGAUGUAGAAAGCCUUAAUUAUCAUUGCUGAUAAGAGUUUAAAAAAUUGCACUUAUUUGUAAUUGGAAAUGGUCACAUACUUUUCCAUAACACAGAUCGUAACUCGAUAACAUGAACAUACCUCUAUUUUAAUUAGAC